RNAcentral lists this ribosomal RNA (435 nucleotides) under uncultured bacterium. Its description in RNAcentral is "bacterial SSU rRNA". It matches the Rfam family "Bacterial small subunit ribosomal RNA", at positions 958 to 1393 of the family's 1533-position model. The record is from RNAcentral.
AACGCGAAGAACCUUACCUACUCUUGACAUCCUGCGAACUUGGUAGAGAUACCUUGGUGCCUUCGGGAACGCAGAGACAGGUGCUGCAUGGCUGUCGUCAGCUCGUGUUGUGAAAUGUUGGGUUAAGUCCCGUAACGAGCGCAACCCUUGUCCUUAGUUGCCAUCAUUUAGUUGGGGACUCUAAGGAGACUGCCGGUGACAAACCGGAGGAAGGCGGGGACGACGUCAAGUCAUCAUGGCCCUUACGAGUAGGGCUACACACGUGCUACAAUGGCAAGUACAGAGGGCCGCGAAGCCGCGAGGUGGAGCUAAUCUCACAAAGCUUGUCGUAGUCCGGAUUGGAGUCUGCAACUCGACUCCAUGAAGUCGGAAUCGCUAGUAAUCGCAAAUCAGAAUGUUGCGGUGAAUACGUUCCCGGGGUCUUGUACACACCGA